AGUCGAGCGAACAGAUGAGGAGCUUGCUCCUCUGACGUUAGCGGCGGACGGGUGAGUAACACGUGGAUAACCUACCUAUAAGACUGGGAUAACUACGGGAAACCGGAGCUAAUACCGGAUAAUAUAUUGAACCGCAUGGUUCAAUAGUGAAAGACGGUUUUGCUGUCACUUAUAGAUGGAUCCGCGCCGCAUUAGCUAGUUGGUAAGGUAACGGCUUACCAAGGCAACGAUGCGUAGCCGACCUGAGAGGGUGAUCGGCCACACUGGAACUGAGACACGGUCCAGACUCCUACGGGAGGCAGCAGUAGGGAAUCUUCCGCAAUGGGCGAAAGCCUGACGGAGCAACGCCGCGUGAGUGAUGAAGGUCUUCGGAUCGUAAAACUCUGUUAUUAGGGAAGAACAAAUGUGUAAGUAACUAUGCACGUCUUGACGGUACCUAAUCAGAAAGUCACGGCUAACUACGUGCCAGCAGCCGCGGUAAUACGUAGGUGGCAAGCGUUAUCCGGAAUUAUUGGGCGUAAAGCGCGCGUAGGCGGUUUUUUAAGUCUGAUGUGAAAGCCCACGGCUCAACCGUGGAGGGUCAUUGGAAACUGGAAAACUUGAGUGCAGAAGAGGAAAGUGGAAUUCCAUGUGUAGCGGUGAAAUGCGCAGAGAUAUGGAGGAACACCAGUGGCGAAGGCGACUUUCUGGUCUG
This 694-nucleotide ribosomal RNA is filed under the name uncultured Staphylococcus sp. RNAcentral's name for it is "bacterial SSU rRNA". It matches the Rfam family "Bacterial small subunit ribosomal RNA", at positions 60 to 736 of the family's 1533-position model. Lineage: Bacteria; Bacillati; Bacillota; Bacilli; Caryophanales; Staphylococcaceae. The record is from RNAcentral.